UAUUUGCACCCAACUUUAGGUUAUAGUGUGCCGGCCGCACACUGUAUUAAAAGGGAAUCAGGUGUAAUACCUGAGCUGUUCCCGCAACUGUAAGCUAUAUCCCUUUUGGGAGGCUGUUGUUAACUGCGAGCCACUGCCUGUAUGGGCGGGAAGGUAAACAACAGUACGCAAGCCAGGAGACCUGCCUUUAGUGUUAACAAUUA
Molecule: regulatory RNA element, 203 nt
Organism: Flavobacterium beibuense F44-8
Lineage: Bacteria; Pseudomonadati; Bacteroidota; Flavobacteriia; Flavobacteriales; Flavobacteriaceae
Source: Rfam